Molecule: long non-coding RNA, 248 nt
Filed under: Mytilus galloprovincialis (Mediterranean mussel)
Lineage: Eukaryota; Metazoa; Mollusca; Bivalvia; Mytilida; Mytilidae
Source: RNAcentral
CUCACAUGUGACCUCAAAGCGGGUUUUGUUAGAUCUCCCACACGACAUAUCAGAAAACGGGAGCUAUCAGAGAUUGGUUUUUAAUAGACCACUUUCGAGUUCAUCCGUCACCGGAAAAAACUCGUCAAUUAUACGCGCCUUUAUGACGUCAUUUACCAGAUAGAGGGGGUCGCCUGUAUCCCUGCACUAUUUAAGUUCAUCAAGCGUCUUAGUGAUCGUCAUUGUGCAGGAUAAACUAGAAAUAAUGG